GAUGAACGCUGGCGGCGUGCUUAACACAUGCAAGUCGAGCGAAGCGCUUAAGUUUGAUUCUUCGGAUGAAGACUUUUGUGACUGAGCGGCGGACGGGUGAGUAACGCGUGGGUAACCUGCCUCAUACAGGGGGAUAACAGUUAGAAAUGACUGCUAAUACCGCAUAAGACCACAGGAUUGCAUGAUCCGGUGGUAAAAACUCCGGUGGUAUGAGAUGGACCCGCGUCUGAUUAGCUAGUUGGUGGGGUAACGGCUCACCAAGGCGACGAUCAGUAGCCGACCUGAGAGGGUGACCGGCCACAUUGGGACUGAGACACGGCCCAAACUCCUACGGGAGGCAGCAGUGGGGAAUAUUGCACAAUGGGCGAAAGCCUGAUGCAGCGACGCCGCGUGAAGGAUGAAGUAUUUCGGUAUGUAAACUUCUAUCAGCAGGGAAGAAAAUGACGGUACCUGACUAAGAAG
RNAcentral lists this ribosomal RNA (462 nucleotides) under uncultured bacterium. Its description in RNAcentral is "bacterial SSU rRNA". It matches the Rfam family "Bacterial small subunit ribosomal RNA", at positions 28 to 490 of the family's 1533-position model. The record is from RNAcentral.